This 309-nucleotide ribosomal RNA is filed under the name uncultured bacterium. RNAcentral describes it as "partial 16S ribosomal RNA". It matches the Rfam family "Bacterial small subunit ribosomal RNA", at positions 504 to 807 of the family's 1533-position model. The record is from RNAcentral.
AGAGACAGCAGUCGCCACGGUAAUACAGAGGGUGCGAGCGUUAAUCGGAUUUACUGGGCGUAAAGCGUGCGUAGGCGGCUUCUUAAGUCGGAUGUGAAAUCCCUGAGCUUAACUUAGGAAUUGCAUUCGAUACUGGGAAGCUAGAGUAUGGGAGAGGAUGGUAGAAUUCCAGGUGUAGCGGUGAAAUGCGUAGAGAUCUGGAGGAAUACCGAUGGCGAAGGCAGCCAUCUGGCCUAAUACUGACGCUGAGGUACGAAAGCAUGGGGAGCAAACAGGAUUAGAUACCCCUGUAGUCCCUGUCUCUUAUAC